GUCGGGUUGAGCGAGGAGGAGGAGGAGGAGGAGGAGAAAAGAGAAGAAUAUCAAAUCACAAAAUAAGAACGUUGAAUGAAAUGAAGAACAGGAGAAGAGUGAAGUGGUGUAGAAGAAGAAGAAGAAGAAGAAGUAGAGAAUACCAAACCACAAAAUAUGAACGUUGAAUGAAAAGGAGAAGUGUUUUAUCGCGUUCAUGGUGCAGAAGAAUUGUCAAACGAUCACUAGGCUUACAAAACUACCCAUGGAAAUACUACCCACCCACAACCUCUACGAAAACCUUAUCAAAAGAGGGCGUGCAAGCCCCGAAGUCUUUAUAAUGGGGACUUAAGGAUACUGCAGGAAACUAAUAUAUGACUUAGCCGUGCAAAUAGGUGUGUGUGAUACUUAAUAAAAAUGAUAGUAAUAGUUUUGAUAGGCUAAUGAUAACCUACUCUGAAAAACUGUGAACUGGGGUACGAGAAAUAACUUGAUAUGGAAAUCGUGUUAUUACUGGGUUAAGCAUUAUUCCUUUUACACUAAGUCGCUAGGAAGUGUGAGAACAAGGCACGUGGCUGAGGGCAGAAACAAGUAUCACGGUGGGGGAAAACAAUACGGGUACAAUUUCGUUCAGUAACUCGACGCGCGCAUCUCACUGGCCGCGACAUUCACCACCUCGCCGACCGCAGCCUCGCCAAGCCCAAGCGCCACGCACCUCAUCAACUCUUCGCUAAACUCACUAACGAAAGUCUUUAAGUACCGAAACAGCAUCCUCUUAAGCUCUUCCUUGGCGUAACGAAGUGCCAGGCGGCGGACUCUUAGUGCUAGGCGACGCUUGCACUCUUGAAGCACCGGUAGAACAAGACAAAGGGAGAUGAAGACGACUGCCAUGAAGGAAAAAGAGUAAGAUCGAGGAGCGGAUGGCGUGGGCUCAAGGGUCUCCAGGUCACCUAUGAGAUGCUGGAGCCGGCGAACCUUGUAAAUGAGUCCGGUUGAAGGGUUAAAGUGAGGUUCGUUGAGGCACAGUAAGGAAGGAGCGGGUGGUAGGUGUUCACGGGGGUGCCUCAAGGUCUUCGGUUGAGCUCGAGUCGCUACUGGAUGGCUCUGGGAAUGGCUGGCUACCCCGAGAACCUCUACAGCGAUCGCCACCACGGCCACGAUUGCGCUAGUUAUGAAGACCUGCCAUGCUCGUGUGCCGCAGAACAUGGAAGAAAAAAUAGUAAGGGAAGACUAAGCAUACGAAACACGUCUUCAGUUGAGCUUGAGUCGCUACAGGAGGAUUCAAAAGGCUGGCUAACCCGAAAACAUCAACAACAAUCGCCACCACGGCCACGAUUGCGCUAGUUAUGAACACCUGCCAUGCUCGUGUGCCGCAGGACAUGGAAGAAAAAAUAGUAAGGGAAGACUAAGCAUACGAAACACGUCUUCAGUUGAGCUUGAGUCGCCACAGGAGGAUUCAAAAGGCUGGGCUACCCCGAGAACCUCUACAGCGAUCGCCACCAGACACGACUGCACUAGAUAAUGAACAUCUGCCAUUCUUGUGUCCCGGAAACCAUCAAACAAAAAGAAAUACGCGAAGACUAAACACUAAACAAGGGAAGACCAGACAUACGAAACAAGUCACAUGGUCAUUGCGGUAAGACAAGGAGAUUGAAGUAUGCGUAUUUAUAAGGGGUUUUGAAUCUUCCUCUUCUUAGGCGCUGUAGCACGGAUAUGUUUCGUCUGUUACGCAAACUGAAUAUAUACGAAAAAAUCUCCAUAUUGCCGGUGAUAAACGAAGCCUAAUGUAUGUGUAGCCUAUGUAAUGUGUAUUAGAAUCUCUCUUUCUUCUUGAUGAUGUAAUCCACACACAAAACAUCGUAGAGAGAAAAGGAAAGGAAAAUAACAUAAGCUGAGUGCCCUCGAAGCUGCAAAACUCGCGGGCCCCAAAAUACCUCGAGAAACAAAAGAAGCACACAAGUUAGCGUAAUAAUCUGAGACAAUAGAAUAAUCCGGCCAUUAGGGAAGGAGAGAAAGAGGAAAAGAGAAAGAUCCGCCGUAAGAGAAAAUGUUAUAAUGAGCUGAUAAAACAAUAAAACUCGCGGGGCCCAAAAUACCUCGAGAAACAAAAGAAGCUCAAGAGGGUAGCGUAAUAAUCUGAGACAAUAGAAUAAUCCGGCCAUUAGAGAAGGAGAGGAAGGGGAAAAUAAAUAUUGCAUCGUAAAAGAAAAUGUUAUAAUGAGCUGAUAAAACACUAAAAUUCGCGGGCCCAAAAUACCUCGAGAAACAAAAGAAGCUCAAGAAGUUAGCGUAAUAAUCUGAGACAAUAGGAUAAUCCGGCCAUUAAGGGAAGGAGAGGAAGAUAAGAGAAAGUGCAUCGUAAAAGAAAAUGUUAUAAUGAGCUGAUAAAACAAUUAAACUCGCGGGCCCAAAAUACCUCGAGAAACAAAAGAUCAAGAGGGUAGCUUAAUAAUUCAAGACAAUAGAAUAAUCCAGCCAUUAGGGAAGGAGAGGAAGGGGAAAAGAGAAAUUGCAUCGUAAAAGAAAAUGUUAUAAUGAGCUGAUAAAACAAUGAAACUCGCGGGGCCCAAAAUACCUCGAGAAACAAAAGAAGCUCAAGAAGUUAGCUUAAUAAUUCAAGACAAUAGAAUAAUCCGGCCAUUAAGGGAAGGAGAGGAAGAUAAGAGAAAGUGCAUCGUAAAAUAAAAUGUUAUAAUGAGCUGAUAAAACAAUAAACCUCGCGGGGCCAAAAAUGCCUCGAGGGAAAAAAAAUGAGGAACCGGAAGCUGACGUAAUGAGAGACAAUAGAAGAUGAUGACGAUGAAGAGAGAGAGAGAGAGAGAGAGAGAGAGAGAGAGAGAGAGAGAGAGAGAGAAAGGCCACACGCUAGGCUAUACGAUUUCUUUUCCGAGUUCGAGAAGCCAGUCAAUCGCUCUAAUUCUUGAAGGACGACGAAGUGAAAAUCCAAAACCCAACCAGAGGAAGAGACUAACGAAGAGACAGAUAGAUAGAGAGGAAGAGAGAAACAAGGAAGAGAUAGCUACACAGACAGAGAGAUAGAGAUAGAAACUUAAAGACAGAGAGACAGCGCCAUAAUAACGUGAUGAGUUGGACCGUAUGCAGACAGGGCAGGAUUGAGGUUCUUGCAACACCACGGACGGAAAAAAGGAGAAAGAGGGAGAGAGAAAAAAAUAUCCAGCCUGGGAACGCCACUAUGCAAAUGACGCACUAGCCAUGAAUGACGAUGAGGAAGCUGCUUAACAUCACGAGAGAGAAAGAAAAAGGAGAAAAAAGGGAGUCUCAGUGUUUGGGUCAGCCAGUUCCACAGCUAGAUAUAUAUAUUGUUUGUAAGCUCUCUAACGAGUCUAACCCAAUACCAAAGACUAUAGGGCAUUGUUACUGGCCUCUUACAGACUCCUUAGGUUCUUAUUAUAGUGUUGGUGUCCAAAAGGAAGCGAAGGAAUUAGGCUAUACGGGAUAUCUCUCUUUAAUGUCAGACUCCUUAGGUUCUUCUUAUAGUCAAGGAAGCGAAGUAUUUUAGGCUAUACGGGAUAUCUCUCUUUAAUGUCAGACUCCUUAGGUUCUUCUUAUAGUCAAGGAAGCGAAGUAUUUUAGGCUAUACGGGAUAUCUCUCUUUAAUGUCAGACUCCUUAGGUUCUUAAAUAGUGUUGAUGUCCAUAAGGAAGCGAAGGAAUUAGGCUAUACGGGAUAUCUCUCUUUAAGGAAUAUAUGAAGUAUUUAUAAAGAGAAAAUUACGUAAAACAUGAUUCCCUUUUUCCUCUCAGCUUCACGUCUUGCACCUCGACACCUCGCGCGUGAAUGAAUCCUUUGAAGUUCUGCCUCGUUAAAAUAGCACCAUUGCCACCACCACCACCACCGCCACCACCACAAAUAACAAUAUGGACAAAUAUGCCUAAAGUAAUGAUGAUGAUAGAGAGAAGGAAGAGGAGGAAGAGAAGGAGAAAAUGACCAGCAUCGCUCAUUUCAUUAUACAAAUCGGAAAUGAUCUUAAAAGGCACUUAUGUCCAUAGUAGGCGAACUGACUGACUGACUGGUUGACUGACUGGGUGGGUUGGUAGGUGGCUGACUGACUGAAUAAUAGACUGGCUGACUGAGUGGUUGACUGACUGACUUGCUAACAAUAUCUAAAGAGGCACUUAUGUCCAUAGUGGGCGAACUCAAUGACUGACUGACUGACUGACUGACUGGGUGGGUGGUUGGUAGGUGGCUGACUGGCUGAAUAAUAGACUGGCUGACUGACUGGAUGUUAUCUCUCUCCCUCUCUCCCUCCCAUUCCUUUCCUUCCCUUUCCUCCCUCCCAUACUCAUAUCACGGACUGGGUGACUGAGUGACUGGCGGACAAACUGAGUGACUGGCUGAAUCCCUCUCCCUCCCUCCCCUCUCCUCCUUCCCUUCCUUCCCUCCCACACAUCAUAUCACGACCAACACAACAACACAGCCUCUCUCUUUGCUAUACGCGGACUCCUCGUUACGCUGUGUCAUCCACUAUUGUGCUACACAUUACCCCACGUCAAGUUUGGCUCCUCGCCGCCCGCCCGUCGCGACCACAAGCCUCAUAUCCCGUCAGACGCUUUCGGUUCUCACAACAACUAUUCUUCAAAGGCUACAAAGAAGAUAAAUCGGGUUCUUAUGAGUGUUUUCCGCAUUCAUGGGUACAGAGGCCUUGUCAAACUAUCACUCGGCUCAUACAACUACCCAUGGAUAUACUAACACAACUUCUACGAAAGUCUUAUUUAUGGUAGGGUGUAUAAGCCCAUAAUGUUUGAGAAUAUGGGGUUUUACGGCUCUCUCUCUCUCUCUCUCUCUCUCUCUCUCUCUCUCUCUCUCUCUCUUCCCACAAGGACGCCCGCCAGCCGCCCACGCGCAGCAGGUUUCCUAUUUACUAAAGGAGGGAUGGAAGCAAGUCGACGAUUGGAGUCUUAAAAAUUAGAAGCGACUUUGCGUACAAAAACAACAUACCAAUCCUUGACUCAAUGAUCACCACGAGUAUAAAAGACGCAUUCUCUUGUGUAUGAAGGCAACUCGAUGAAGCUACUGAUAAAAGAACAACACGGGGGUAGGUGAUUCAGCGAUGCCCCGGAGGUAUUACAUGUGUUCACCCUUGAGUGCGUAACCUUGCUUAGUGAGAUGAAAGGCGAGGAGAUGCGGAAGCUUGUCUACUCUCACGCACUGCACCGGCCCUUCCUUCUACCUUGUCUAACUUUAAAGGUUGGUAUGCUCACACGCUUCCGCCUCCCCGUCAACGAUUUCCAAAGGUCGAUAAGGAGAUUGAUUGGGUUCUUACGAGUGUUUCUUUACGUUUAUUGUGUAGAAGCCUUGUCAAACUACCACCAGGCUUCCAAUGGCCCUUUUACUUCAAUGGUCGGGACACUCACACGAUUCCGCCUCCCCGUCAAUGAUUUCCAAAGGUCGAUAAGGAGAUUGAUCGGGUUCUUAUGAGUUUUUCUUUACGUUUGAAGUACUGAAAUCUUGUCAAACUAUCAGGCUUUCCAACGGCCCCUCCUUCUACCUUGUCUAACUUUAAUGGUCGGGAUACUUAGACGCUUCCGCCCUCACAUCAACGAAUUCUAAAGGUCUAUAAGAAGACUGAUUGGGUUCUCAUGAGUUUUUCUUUAUGUUUGGGGUAUAGAAAUCUUGUCAAACUAUCAGGCUUUUCAACGGCCCCUCCUUCUACCUUGUCUAACUUUAAUGGUCGGGAUACUUAGACGCUUCCGCCCUCACAUCAACGAAUUCUAAAGGUCUAUAAGAAGAUUGAUUGGGUUCUUAUGAGUGUUUGUUCAGGUAAAUGGUAUAUAAGACUUUUCAAACUAACUAUCAGGCUUUGCAACGGCUCUUCCUUCUACCUCGUCUAGUUUCAAUGGUUGGUAUACUUAAACGCUUCCGCCCAUGACAUCAACAAUUUCCAGAGGCCACAGAGGUGAUUAAUCGGGUCCUAAUGAGUGUUUCCUUACGUUCAUGGUGUAGAGGCCUUGUCAAACUACCACCAGGGUCAUAAAACUACCCCUGGAAAUGCCCGCUAUAACUCCUACGAAAGCCUUGUCAAAUGCGUGUGUGCUUGGCCGCCUGAAUGUUUAAGAAUAAGAAUGUUUAAAAAUGUUGCUUGGGUCACAUUCUGAACAUAAUACAACAACUACCUGCCUCAUUGCUUUUAGAUAAGAACCUGCUACUCUCUCUCUCUCUCUCUCUCUCUCUCUCUCUCUCUCUCUCUCUCUCUCUCUCUCUCUCUCUCUCUCAUUCCUGUUUGUUGCCAUUUGUCAAAUCUCUUCCUAAGGUGACCAUCUGUCUU
Eriocheir sinensis (Chinese mitten crab) is the source of this 6265-nucleotide long non-coding RNA. RefSeq lists it as uncharacterized. The transcript is spliced from 3 exons. Lineage: Eukaryota; Metazoa; Arthropoda; Malacostraca; Decapoda; Varunidae. The record is from RefSeq and is a predicted model, not a curated record.